CCUACGGGUGGCAGCAGUGGGGAAGAUUGCACAAUGGGGGAAACCCUGAUGCAGCGACGCCGCGUGAGUGAAGAAGUAAUUCGGUAUGUAAAGCUCUAUCAGCAGGGAAGAAAAUGACGGUACCGGAGUAAGAAGCCCCGGCUAACUACGUGCCAGCAGCCGCGGUAAGACGUAGGGGGCAAGCGUUCUCCGGAUUUACUGGGUGUACAGGGAGCGUAGACGGCCGUGCAAGUCUGGAGUGAAAGGCGGGGGCUCAACCCCCGGACGGCUCUGGAAACUGGACGGCGGGAGGGCAGGAGUGGUCAGUGGCUUUCCUCUUGUAGCGGUGCACUGCUUCGAUCUUCGGCGUCACCCCAGUGGCGACGGCGGCUUACUGGACUGUACCUGACGUUGCGGCUC
Molecule: ribosomal RNA, 399 nt
Filed under: uncultured bacterium
Lineage: Bacteria
Description: partial 16S ribosomal RNA
Rfam family: Bacterial small subunit ribosomal RNA
Source: RNAcentral